AUGAUCUGCCCGACCCCUCGUGCCCAGCGUAGGAAGGACAGAGCUCCGGCGGGCGGGGCUGUGCGGCCGGAAGGGCCGCCCGGCAUCCGUUCGCGACGUCGCAGUGUGGCGUUCGUUCCGUCUGGGGCAACGUGCUGCGUCUGCUUGCGGCUGCGCCCCUCCGGCGUCAUACGGUGCGGCCCAAACUGUUCAAGCCUGAUGUUACAAAGCAAGCCUACAUUUCUUUCAUCAAAUCCCUCUGAGCAUAAAAAGCAGCCCAAGCGGCUCAGAUUCAAGCUGCGUCCCCCCUGUGUCUUCCUUCCAACCUGCAGGGAGACAUGCAAUCAGGAGUGUGAGGCUCCCUGCCCUCCUAUAUUGACCCCCAUGAGAAACCCAACCACAUUGUUUAUGGAUCAGGUGAAAAUCCAGGUUAACCAGAACAGCAUCCACAAGCAGGGGGAGAAUCAAAUCAGAAUGGGUAUUUACAGCACUUCCUCAUUGUGUGCUGCCAGCUGCUCAUGUCUGAUUCAUCACCUCAGUGGAGCUCAUCACCCCACACACCUGGAGAGGCUCCUUGAUCCCAGUGACAUCUCCAUGACUGCAAUGUUCUUUGGCAAGGAGUGCAGCCCACCGGCAUGGACAGCCACCUCCUCUUGCUGGCUUCCCUUCCAUCUGCCAGCCUUGCUCUUGGAAUCGAAGGCAGUGCGCACCCAGCUUCAGCCCACUUUCUCUUCCACUUGCCACUCCCUAAGGUCAGCCCUUCUGAGGAGCACAGCCACCAAGCCUUGUUGUGCCCCGGCUCUCCCCUGGGCCUUCUUUGGCAGAGUGGCAGUCGUGUUCCCAGCGUUGUAUCAGAUAACACAUUGCUGUUAAAAACCCAACAAUAAAGUCUCUGUGGGAUGCUGGCUGUGUGGGUUCAGGCCUGUCUGCUUCCUUCUGAAAAAGCAAAUUCCUUGAGAGCAUCUACCAACAUGUUAAUAUGGGGCAGUGAUUUUGAGAUGCUUCUUGCAUAUCCAGCACUGGUUGAGCACGCGGCUUUUUGUAGCUGUGUUUAUUAUAAUCUGUUACUUUUAUUUAAUGCCUCAUUAAAGAAAGCAUCUUUUCAAAGUAUGUUACAUUCUGAGCUUUCUUACUGAGUAAGAUUAUGUAUUUCAAAAUUAGGCCACUAUGGUUGCCCCACCAGUGUUACCUCACUGGUUUCUAAAGAGGAUUCAGAGAAGAUAAAUGAGAAAUGCAACCGUAUUUCUGUCUGUGGAUGUGGACAGGGAGGAAAAGGAAAAGGAUUUUUCCCCCAUAUAAGCUCUUGAUGUAGAACUAUUUAAAUUAGAAAAGACUUCCCACUGCAGGUGCAAAUGUCUAUCUAGUUCCUGGUUCUUAUCCUGUGUUAUGGGGCAAAAAUUUGGUUUCAGUAUCCCAGGCCUUUGUAAGGGACUAAACUGCUUGAAAUAUCUCAGCUUCAGCUAUGAAAGAUCCCAGCAUUGCUCUUCUGGUCAGUUGCUCAGUCAGUCCUUCCAAAUUACCCAUGUUUGUAUUUUAGCAACCUUAAUUCUCACAAGAGCCUGUCAUGAGGGAUACAAAUUUUGAAGGAGACUUCUUGGUGAAAUAGUUGUUAUUUGCCUUCCUGUGUACUCUUCUGGAAAAUUAGAACAUUGAACAUGUCUCCAUGCAUUAAACAGAACCUGGUCAUCACUUUUAAAAGUGAAAAAGCUUCUGAAGAACAGUACAUAAUAACAUAAUAACAGUUACAGAAUGCAAGCACUAAUUGUGUGUUUUUGCAAAAUCUGGGAAAACAUGGAGACAAAUUUUCCAUGUGUGAUACCUACCAGAAAGGUAAAAACUACAUACUGUACCCAAAAACCCACAAUACUUUGUGCUGUUAAGCAGUGAGAGUGGAUGAAAAGCAGCAAAAUCUUCCCCCUCGGGAAGCCAGCAUUCAUCAUGUUUGCCAUUUCCCAUCAGGAGGUGUCUAUGACCAGCAUACUCUGCUCUGGCUGCCCCAGGCCUUCCUGCCUCUUUGCCAGAACACUGUUUUCCAAAACAGACUUGGGGUUGUUAGGGCUUAUCCUGGGGUCUCACCUGACCUCCAGCACGUGUGGGAUAUCCAUGAGUCGUUUCCAUUCCCUAGCUCUAAGCAGUGGGUUAUGCCAAAUCCACCUUUGGCACUUUCCCUGGCAUCACCCCCCACGAGGUGGCAGAACUCGCCUGUGCGGUGCCCCCAUGGACGUGGGUGAGUAGGCAAAGCCACACAGCUGAACUGUGCCCAAGGGACCUUGCCCAGUGUCUGCAAGGCAGUGCCUGUGUUGGGGGCCAGGCUUGCCCCCUCUGAGGGAAAGGCACGGUGUUGAGGCUACAGUCAUGUGUACAAAGGAUUUGUCCUGAGAGAACUAUGACAGGACAUCUGCCUCGUGGAACUUGUAGAUUUGAUUAUCAUCAAUUUCACUUUUUAUCCCAAAUCAAGCCAGUACUGAUUGCAUUGACCAGGUGCUUCUAAUGAUCUAAAUGGGGUCCACUAAAUAGUCACAAAGCUAUCUUGCUCCUUCUUCCAAGAGCUGAGCUUCUUGGGUUCUGGCCCCACUGCUUCUUUGCAAUGGGUAGGAGCCAGAGCCAGAGCAUCUCCUUUCACUUACUCUCUCCACCUAUCUGAACCAAGGAAUCCCUAUCCUUUGCAGCUAUUCAAAGGUAAAGGUUUGAGUGUUGGGAGAAAGAUUCCAAUUGUUGGCUUCUCUCAUACUGCGCCCAUCCUUUAGCCUGCUCUCUUCUGUGCCCUUGCUUGUAUUGUACGGAGUGCAUGAGGCACUUUCUGUUAUACGUCACAUCAAGGAUCUGUGAGUGAGGUCCCAGGGUGGCUUUGCC
Long non-coding RNA from Pavo cristatus (Indian peafowl), 2832 nucleotides. The record is from Ensembl. Lineage: Eukaryota; Metazoa; Chordata; Aves; Galliformes; Phasianidae.